UUAUUAUUAACAAAUCUAGUCAUUGGCAUAGUUCUCUAUUCAUAAAAUGACACAAAGCAGGGCCUCGUGAGUGCUUGCACCACAUAUUGAUAAGCAUUUAUCACAUUUAAAUUAAUGCACAGCUAGUAUACACUUCCAUGAACGGAAAACAUCUAAUAGACAUUAAGAAUAAAAUGUGGAUGCAACAAAAACAUACAAAUAUUACAAUAAUUAAACCAUGAAAAAAAAAGUUGAAAAUUGUUUUUGAUAUUGGCUUUCUGUGAAAUGCAUUGUUAGGUGUAUCGCUUGGCACUGGUGUGAAAUAUUGUGCAUUUAGAGGAUCUGGCUUCAGUUUAAUCAUAUUAAUAAAUGAUAAUUUCAAUAAUUCCGCAGCUCAUCAAUAACUGUGUUAAUAUCAAUGGCGCCCUCUGCUGGACAGUCAUCAAAACCUUUUGUUGGCUUUGGUCAUGAAUAAUACUGACGCACACCUGUUACUCAUUUCAUAAAUCCCUGUUUUUACGUUGUUUAUGGCAACAGGACACUCUUAUACUUUAGUAAUUGAGUUUAAGCUCUUCUAUAUUAUUUUUAUUAUUAUUAAAAUAAAUGUUACAGUGGAGACAUCUGCAAAUGGCUUGUGGAAACAAAAAAAUUUAAUAAAAUAAAAAUCCGAAUUGUAUUUCAAAUAAUGACCAAAUAUAACUCUACAAUUCGUCUCGAAAAACCGAUUCCGUUUUUCUCUGUCACGAAGUGACGUCACACACCAAACUCACUUACUAAAGGUAGCGCCAUAUUCUUUUAAGUACAUUUGAAUAUGCAUUUUAAAUAGUACCAUACGCUAGGUUUAGACAUUUUACCAUGGUAAUCUUUUUUGACACUAUUUUUGAAGUACCAAGUCAGGAAUAUAUAUAGUACGCUGGUAAAGCUACCAAUCAAAGGUUUAGACACCGACUCGAUCUUUAAAGCGGUGAAACGACAGAUUAUCGGGGGGGAAAAAUGUAGGGCGGGACUUGGCUCUAUGCGUCGUUUGCUGAUUGGAUGUUGAGAUGUGGGCGUGGCGCUUUAAAAAGUCCUGCGUAGUUUUGACAUUUUGGUUAAACAUUACGAGGUCGAAACAUGUUUCAAAAUGAAACAUAUGCACGGAUGAUUUACUUACAAUAAAAUCUAUAACAUGCAUUUCCGUGACUUUCCAUCCCAUGCCGACUUUAGCUAUGAAAUAACUCCAAUCAUUUUCUCCACAGGGAAACUGAAUUUUAACGAUAGCUUUUAAAACAAUACAGUGGAGUGAAGAAGUGUUGGCCAUCUUCCUGAUUUCUUAUUUUUUUGCAUGUUGCAUGAAACACUUUAAUGUUUCAGAUCA
This is a long non-coding RNA of Sinocyclocheilus grahami, 1336 nucleotides long. RefSeq lists it as uncharacterized. The transcript has 3 exons. The record is from RefSeq and is a predicted model, not a curated record. NCBI's taxonomy places the organism in Eukaryota, Metazoa, Chordata, Actinopteri, Cypriniformes, Cyprinidae.